This 253-nucleotide ribosomal RNA is filed under the name uncultured bacterium. RNAcentral's name for it is "partial 16S ribosomal RNA". It matches the Rfam family "Bacterial small subunit ribosomal RNA", at positions 524 to 776 of the family's 1533-position model. The record is from RNAcentral.
UACGGAGGGUGCAAACGUUGCUCGGAAUCAUUGGGCGUAAAGCGCACGUAGGCGGCGAAGCAAGUUGGGUGUGAAAGCCCUGGGCUCAACCCAGGAAGUGCAUUCAAAACUGCUUCGCUUGAAUCUCGGAGGGGGUCAGAGAAUUCCCGGUGUAGAGGUGAAAUUCGUAGAUAUCGGGAGGAAUACCAGUGGCGAAGGCGCUGACCUGGACGAAGAUUGACGCUGAGGUGCGAAAGCGCGUGGAGCAAACAGG